Molecule: ribosomal RNA, 1554 nt
Filed under: Salmonella enterica subsp. enterica serovar Infantis
Lineage: Bacteria; Pseudomonadati; Pseudomonadota; Gammaproteobacteria; Enterobacterales; Enterobacteriaceae
Also listed under: 1 other name
Description: bacterial SSU rRNA
Rfam family: Bacterial small subunit ribosomal RNA
Source: RNAcentral
AAAUUGAAGAGUUUGAUCAUGGCUCAGAUUGAACGCUGGCGGCAGGCCUAACACAUGCAAGUCGAACGGUAACAGGAAGCAGCUUGCUGCUUUGCUGACGAGUGGCGGACGGGUGAGUAAUGUCUGGGAAACUGCCUGAUGGAGGGGGAUAACUACUGGAAACGGUGGCUAAUACCGCAUAACGUCGCAAGACCAAAGAGGGGGACCUUCGGGCCUCUUGCCAUCAGAUGUGCCCAGAUGGGAUUAGCUAGUUGGUGAGGUAACGGCUCACCAAGGCGACGAUCCCUAGCUGGUCUGAGAGGAUGACCAGCCACACUGGAACUGAGACACGGUCCAGACUCCUACGGGAGGCAGCAGUGGGGAAUAUUGCACAAUGGGCGCAAGCCUGAUGCAGCCAUGCCGCGUGUAUGAAGAAGGCCUUCGGGUUGUAAAGUACUUUCAGCGGGGAGGAAGGUGUUGUGGUUAAUAACCGCAGCAAUUGACGUUACCCGCAGAAGAAGCACCGGCUAACUCCGUGCCAGCAGCCGCGGUAAUACGGAGGGUGCAAGCGUUAAUCGGAAUUACUGGGCGUAAAGCGCACGCAGGCGGUCUGUCAAGUCGGAUGUGAAAUCCCCGGGCUCAACCUGGGAACUGCAUUCGAAACUGGCAGGCUUGAGUCUUGUAGAGGGGGGUAGAAUUCCAGGUGUAGCGGUGAAAUGCGUAGAGAUCUGGAGGAAUACCGGUGGCGAAGGCGGCCCCCUGGACAAAGACUGACGCUCAGGUGCGAAAGCGUGGGGAGCAAACAGGAUUAGAUACCCUGGUAGUCCACGCCGUAAACGAUGUCUACUUGGAGGUUGUGCCCUUGAGGCGUGGCUUCCGGAGCUAACGCGUUAAGUAGACCGCCUGGGGAGUACGGCCGCAAGGUUAAAACUCAAAUGAAUUGACGGGGGCCCGCACAAGCGGUGGAGCAUGUGGUUUAAUUCGAUGCAACGCGAAGAACCUUACCUGGUCUUGACAUCCACAGAAGAAUCCAGAGAUGGAUUUGUGCCUUCGGGAACUGUGAGACAGGUGCUGCAUGGCUGUCGUCAGCUCGUGUUGUGAAAUGUUGGGUUAAGUCCCGCAACGAGCGCAACCCUUAUCCUUUGUUGCCAGCGGUUAGGCCGGGAACUCAAAGGAGACUGCCAGUGAUAAACUGGAGGAAGGUGGGGAUGACGUCAAGUCAUCAUGGCCCUUACGACCAGGGCUACACACGUGCUACAAUGGCGCAUACAAAGAGAAGCGACCUCGCGAGAGCAAGCGGACCUCAUAAAGUGCGUCGUAGUCCGGAUUGGAGUCUGCAACUCGACUCCAUGAAGUCGGAAUCGCUAGUAAUCGUGGAUCAGAAUGCCACGGUGAAUACGUUCCCGGGCCUUGUACACACCGCCCGUCACACCAUGGGAGUGGGUUGCAAAAGAAGUAGGUAGCUUAACCUUCGGGAGGGCGCUUACCACUUUGUGAUUCAUGACUGGGGUGAAGUCGUAACAAGGUAACCGUAGGGGAACCUGCGGUUGGAUCACCUCCUUACCUGAAAGAAGC